This 484-nucleotide ribosomal RNA is filed under the name uncultured bacterium. Its description in RNAcentral is "partial 16S ribosomal RNA". It matches the Rfam family "Bacterial small subunit ribosomal RNA", at positions 30 to 507 of the family's 1533-position model. The record is from RNAcentral.
AUUGAACGCUGGCGGCAGGCCUAACACAUGCGAGUCGAGCGGAUGAAGGGAGCUUGCUCCUGGAUUCAGCGGCGGACGGGUGAGUAAUGCCUAGGAAUCUGCCUGGUAUUGGGGGAUAACGUCCGGAAACGGGCGCUAAUACCGCAUACGUCCUGAGGGAGAAAGUGGGGGAUCUUCGGACCUCACGCUAUCAGAUGAGCCUAGUUCGGAUUAGCUAGUUGGUGGGGUAAAGGCCUACCAAGGCGACGAUCCGUAACUGGUCUGAGAGGAUGAUCAGUCACACUGGAACUGAGACACGGUCCAGACUCCUACGGGAGGCAGCAGUGGGGAAUAUUGGACAAUGGGCGAAAGCCUGAUCCAGCCAUGCCGCGUGUGUGAAGAAGGUCUUCGGAUUGUAAAGCACUUUAAGUUGGGAGGAAGGGCAGUAAGUUAAUACCUUGCUGUUUUGACGUUACCAACAGAAUAAGCACCGGCUAACUUCGUG